AACGAACGCUGGCGGCAUGCCUAACACAUGCAAGUCGAACGAGACCUUCGGGUCUAGUGGCGCACGGGUGCGUAACGCGUGGGAACCUGCCCUUGGGUUCGGAAUAACUCCCCGAAAGGGGUGCUAAUACCGGAUAAUGUCUUCGGACCAAAGAUUUAUCGCCUUUGGAUGGGCCCGCGUUGGAUUAGCUUGUUGGUAGGGUAAAAGCAUACCAAGGCGACGAUCCAUAGCUGGUCUGAGAGGAUGAUCAGCCACACUGGGACUGAGACACGGCCCAGACUCCUACGAGAGGCAGCAGUGGGGAACAUUGGACAAUGGGCGAAAGCCUGAUCCAGCAAUGCCGCGUGAGUGAUGAAGGCCUUAGGGUUGUAAAGCUCUUUUACCCGGGAUGAUAAUGACAGUACCGGGAGAAUAAGCUCCGGCUAACUCCGUG
Molecule: ribosomal RNA, 433 nt
Filed under: uncultured bacterium
Lineage: Bacteria
Description: partial 16S ribosomal RNA
Rfam family: Bacterial small subunit ribosomal RNA
Source: RNAcentral